UUUGUGUUCAGGAACAUGAAUGUCUUGGAACGAAAGACCUUUCACACCUUCUGAUGUAAGUAGUGAAACAAGUCAAGGUGAUAUGAGGUGUGUUUUUGUAUUAUUAUGAAAUAUCUGUCUGUAAAGUCAUGACCUUUGUGUUGUGGUUGUGUUUAUGUGACAGUUCUCACAAAGACAGUAAUAUAACAAAGCUAGUAACAUAACUUGGGCUGCAUAGAUGGUCACUUUCAGUCUUUGAUUAAUGAAUGUUUUAAUUAACCUGUGAACUAACUCUCAUUUACUUUGACUCAGCAGAUUUUCCUCCUUGUAGGUGUGAAAAUCUGUGACCGACUAAACUGAGUCUUUUAGCUCCAGUAAAGAGAACAAUUGAUGCUACAGUUAUUCCUGUGAAUCUAAACAGAAUUCAACAAAGUGACGCUUCUGUUCUGCUCUAGCCUCAGUAGUGGGGCUAACAUUUUUAGA
This is a long non-coding RNA of Oreochromis niloticus (Nile tilapia), 462 nucleotides long. RefSeq lists it as uncharacterized. The record is from RefSeq and is a predicted model, not a curated record. The transcript is spliced from 3 exons. Lineage: Eukaryota; Metazoa; Chordata; Actinopteri; Cichliformes; Cichlidae.